GAGGCCGGGGUGUUAAUACACACACAGGUAGCGAGGAGGCCGGGGUGUUAAUACACACACAGGUAGCGAGGAGGCCGGCGUGUUAAUACACACACAGGUAGCGAGGAGGUCGGGGUGUCUGCUGCUGUUCCCAUGGCCCCGCUGUGCUGCGGAACAGUCCCUCGAGGUAACAGGUUGGCUGCCUCACACUUGAGGUUUUGUUUUUCCAGCCCUCAGGUGGAGUCUUCAUUAUUCUUCUGUAGUUGGACCUGAUCUGGCCACAGCUGGCAUCCCCAGAACGUCCCUACACCGAUUCUCCCGCUCAGGACUGGACAUGUAGCGUGUGGCACUUCCAAUCAAGGCCUCCACCAAGGCAGGUGUGACUUGCUGAAGGGCAGUUGGCUUCCCUUGAGGCUUGCAGGGCAGUGGACUGGCAUAACCAUGCCUGGUCCCCAUGAGAGCACUUCACUUCAUCUGAAUUCCUGGAAUGUGAGCUAAAAGCAGUAGGUGGGUGAGAGUUUUGUGAGGCGUUGAGGUCUGGCAGUAGGUGGUCUGUGGAAGAGAAGCGG
RNAcentral lists this long non-coding RNA (548 nucleotides) under Homo sapiens (human). RNAcentral's name for it is "novel transcript". The record is from RNAcentral. Lineage: Eukaryota; Metazoa; Chordata; Mammalia; Primates; Hominidae.